UGUCUAAAACAUAGCAUUAAUGCAUCGAAUCCCAUUAGAAUUCCGCAGUUAAGAGCACUUGGGAUAGAGUAGUACUAGGAUGGGUGCCUACCUGAGAAUUCCUACUAUUUUACAUUC
This is a non-coding RNA of Picea glauca (white spruce), 117 nucleotides long. NCBI's taxonomy places the organism in Eukaryota, Viridiplantae, Streptophyta, Pinopsida, Pinales, Pinaceae. The record is from Rfam.